RNAcentral lists this ribosomal RNA (429 nucleotides) under Bacteroidota bacterium. Its description in RNAcentral is "Bacteroidetes bacterium partial 16S ribosomal RNA". It matches the Rfam family "Bacterial small subunit ribosomal RNA", at positions 355 to 776 of the family's 1533-position model. The record is from RNAcentral. Lineage: Bacteria; Pseudomonadati; Bacteroidota.
UAGGGAAUCUUCGGCAAUGGGGGGAACCCUGACCGAGCAACGCCGCGUGAGUGAAGAAGGUUUUCGGAUCGUAAAGCUCUGUUGUUAAGGAAGAACGAGUGUGAGAAUGGAAAGUUCAUGCUGUGACGGUACUUAACCAGAAAGGGACGGCUAACUACGUGCCAGCAGCCGCGGUAAUACGUAGGUCCCGAGCGUUGUCCGGAUUUAUUGGGCGUAAAGCGAGCGCAGGCGGUUAGAAAAGUCUGAAGUGAAAGGCAGUGGCUCAACCAUUGUAGGCUUUGGAAACUGUUUAACUUGAGUGAAGAAGGGGAGAGUGGAAUUCCAUGUGUAGCGGUGAAAUGCGUAGAUAUAUGGAGGAACACCGGUGGCGAAAGCGGCUCUCUGGUCUGUAACUGAAGCUGAGGCUCGAAAGCGUGGGGAGCGAACAGG